UCCCUGGUAGCUCAGACGGUAAAGAAUCUGCCUGCAAUGCAGGAAAUUCAGGUUUGAUCCCUGCACUGGGAA
RNAcentral lists this transfer RNA (72 nucleotides) under Bos taurus (domestic cattle). It matches the Rfam family "tRNA". Rfam says of the family: Transfer RNA (tRNA) molecules are approximately 80 nucleotides in length. RNAcentral also lists the same sequence under 3 other names. The record is from Rfam by way of RNAcentral. Lineage: Eukaryota; Metazoa; Chordata; Mammalia; Artiodactyla; Bovidae.